GCGGAGGAAAAGAAAAUAACAAUGAUUUCCCUAGUAACGGCGAGUGAAGAGGAAAGAGCUCAAAGUUGGAAACUGUUUGGCUUAGCUAAACCGUAUUGUAAACUGUAGAAACAUUUUCCUGGCACACCAGAUUAAUAAGUCCUUUGGAACAAGGCAUCAUGGAGGGUGAGAAUCCCGUCUUUGAUCUGAGUAGUUGUCUUUUGUGAUAUGUUUUCAAAGAGUCAGGUUGUUUGGGAAUGCAGCCUAAAUUGGGUGGUAAAUCUCACCUAAAGCUAAAUAUUUGCGAGAGACCGAUAGCGAACAAGUACCGUGAGGGAAAGAUGAAAAGAACUUUGAAAAGAGAGUUAAACAGUAUGUGAAAUUGUUAAAAGGGAACCGUUUGGAGCCAGACUGGUUUGCCUGUAAUCAACCUAGAAUUCGUUUUGGGUGCACUUGCAGGCUAUACCUGCCAACAACAGUUUGACUUGGAGGAAAAAAUUAAUAGGAAUGUAGCCUCUCGAGGUGUUAUAGCCUAUUAUCAUACUCUGGGUUGGACUGAGGAACGCAGCGGAUGCCUUUAGGCAAGAUUGCUGGGUGCUUUCGCUGAUAAAUGUUAGAAUUUCUGCUUCGGGUGGUGCUAAUGUUUAAAGGAGGAACACAUCUAGUAUAUUUUUUAUUCGCUUAGGUUGUUGGCUUAAUGACUCUAAAUGAC
Molecule: ribosomal RNA, 691 nt
Filed under: Ellisomyces anomalus
Lineage: Eukaryota; Fungi; Mucoromycota; Mucoromycetes; Mucorales; Mucoraceae
Description: eukaryotic LSU rRNA
Rfam family: Eukaryotic large subunit ribosomal RNA
Source: RNAcentral